UAGGGAAUCUUCCGCAAUGGACGCAAGUCUGACGGAGCAACGCCGCGUGAGUGAAGAAGGAUUUCGGUUCGUAAAACUCUGUUGUUAGAGAAGAACAGCGCAUAGAGUAACUGUUAUGCGUGUGACGGUAUCUAACCAGAAAGCCACGGCUAACUACGUGCCAGCAGCCGCGGUAAUACGUAGGUGGCAAGCGUUGUCCGGAUUUAUUGGGAGUAAAGCGAGCGCAGGCGGUCAAUUAAGUCUGAUGUGAAAGCCCCCGGCUCAACCGGGGAGGGUCAUUGGAAACUGGUUGACUUGAGUGCAGAAGAGGAGAGUGGAAUUCCAUGUGUAGCGGUGAAAUGCGUAGAUAUAUGGAGGAACGCCAGUGGCGAAGGGGACUCUCUGGUCUGUAACUGACGCUGAGGCUCGAAAGCGUGGGUAGCAAACAGG
RNAcentral lists this ribosomal RNA (429 nucleotides) under Bacteroidota bacterium. RNAcentral describes it as "Bacteroidetes bacterium partial 16S ribosomal RNA". It matches the Rfam family "Bacterial small subunit ribosomal RNA", at positions 355 to 776 of the family's 1533-position model. The record is from RNAcentral. Lineage: Bacteria; Pseudomonadati; Bacteroidota.